GAAACUGUGGGUAAUACCGGAUGAUAUCUGACUUUUGCAAAAGAGUUGGAUCAAAGGUGUGAUUCCGCCCUGGGAGGGGACUGCGUCCUACUAGCUUGUUGGUGGGGUAACGGCCUACCAAGGCUUUGAUGGGUAGCGGGCGUGAGAGCGUGGCCCGUCUCACUGGGACUGAGACACUGCCCAGACACCUACGGGUGGCUGCAGUCGAGAAUCUUCGGCAAUGGGCGAAAGCCUGACCGAGCGACGCCGCGUGCGGGAUGAAGGCCUUCGGGUUGUAAACCGCUGUCAGUUGGGAGGAAAUCUAUAGGAGUUCUCUCCUAUAGUUGACCUAUCUUCAGAGGAAGACCGGGCUAAGUUCGUGCCAGCAGCCGCGGUAAGACGAACCGGUCGAACGUUAUUCGGAAUCAUUGGGCUUAAAGGGUGCGUAGGCGGUGCGGAAAGUUGGGUGUGAAAUCCCUCGGCUCAACCGAGGAACUGCGCCCAAAACUUCCGUGCUA
RNAcentral lists this ribosomal RNA (497 nucleotides) under uncultured bacterium. Its description in RNAcentral is "bacterial SSU rRNA". It matches the Rfam family "Bacterial small subunit ribosomal RNA", at positions 153 to 643 of the family's 1533-position model. The record is from RNAcentral.